This 560-nucleotide ribosomal RNA is filed under the name uncultured bacterium. Its description in RNAcentral is "partial 16S ribosomal RNA". It matches the Rfam family "Bacterial small subunit ribosomal RNA", at positions 355 to 902 of the family's 1533-position model. The record is from RNAcentral.
UGGGGAAUAUUGCACAAUGGGCGCAAGCCUGAUGCAGCCAUGCCGCGUGUGUGAAGAAGGCCUUCGGGUUGUAAAGCACUUUCAGCGAGGAGGAAGGUGGUGAGCUUAAUACGCUCAUCAAUUGACGUUACUCGCAGAAGAAGGCACCGGCUAACUCCGUGCCAGCAGCCGCGGUAAUACGGAGGGUGCAAGCGUUAAUCGGAAUUACUGGGCGUAAAGCGCACGCAGGCGGUUUGUUAAGUCAGAUGUGAAAUCCCCGGGCUCAACCUGGGAACUGCAUUUGAAACUGGCAAGCUAGAGUCUCGUAGAGGGGGGUAGAAUUCCAGGUGUAGCGGUGAAAUGCGUAGAGAUCUGGAGGAAUACCGGUGGCGAAGGCGGCCCCCCUGGACGAAGACUGACGCUCAGGUGCGAAAAGCGUGGGGAGCAAAACAGGAUUAGAUACCCUGGUAGUCCACGCUGUAAAACGAUGUCGAUUUGGAGGUUGUGCCCUUGAGGCGUGGCUUCCGGAGCUAACGCGUUAAAUCGACCGCCUGGGGAGUACGGCCGCAAGGUUAAAACUC